CUCUGUGAAAAGGAGUGCCUCUUAAAUAUGUAGAGACUGUUUCACAAUCAUCAUAACAUAGUCAAUACUGCAGGCCUCGGUGACUCCCCACCUAGGCAAUGCUAUGCCUUAUCACCCACAGAGGCAGGCUUCGGUCAUCAUUCGGACAUUGCACUGUGCUGUAUAAUUCAGGUGUGGUCCUUAAUUUUAUAAAACCUAGCAUUUCAGAAAAGCCAUCACCCCAAUUAACUUAGCAGUCUUAAGGAUCCCUAAAUACUCACACAGUUAAAUUACUAGGAUCUAAAGAAGGUACAAAGAUAAGCAAGAAGUGGGUAUUUGCCCUUGUGGAGUUUACGGUAAGUCUAUUAUAUUUUCAGCUUUAAGACAGAAAUGCUAAUGGUAACUCAAAGAAGUAAUAUGUGGUGCAUGUUAAAUAGCAGUGGAGGGCCAAGGACAUGAGCGAGGAUGCCUCUCCACCAGCAAAAGAUCCAGGUGCAAAGAGCACUGAAGGCAUCUUGGAGGGUAAGCAGUAUUUCAACAGGUGGAGAUGGCAGAAAUCAGCAUUCCAGAAAGAAGACAGGGCAUCCACAGCUCUUCUUCAAUAGAGGAAAUGGUUUCUCAGCUGCAGCAUGACUGACAUUUUGGCCGGAUAAUUCUUUGUUGUGGGGGCUGUCCUGUGAGCUGUAGGCUGUGUAGCGGCAUCUCGCUGUCAACCCACUGGAUGCUAGUGACACUCCGACCCCAGUGGUAACAACCCGGAAUGUCUCCAGACAUUGCCAAUUGACCUUGGGGUUGGGGGAAAAAUCACCUUGGGUGAGAGAUACUGAUACAGAAUAUAUAUAC
Molecule: long non-coding RNA, 822 nt
Filed under: Homo sapiens (human)
Lineage: Eukaryota; Metazoa; Chordata; Mammalia; Primates; Hominidae
Description: HSALNT0099841
Source: RNAcentral